GUGAGGAAUAUUGCGCAAUGGAGGCAACUCUGACGCAGCCAUGCCGCGUGCAGGAAGAAGGCGCUACGCGUUGUAAACUGCUUUUAACCGGGAAGAAACCCCAGGACGUGUCCUGGGUUGACGGUACCGGAGGAAUAAGCACCGGCUAACUUCGUGCCAGCAGCCGCGGUAAUACGAAGGGUGCAAGCGUUAUCCGGAUUCAUUGGGUUUAAAGGGUGCGUAGGCGGAGCGUUAAGUCAGUGGUGAAAUCCUGCAGCUUAACUGUAGACUUGCCAUUGAUACUGGCGAUCUUGAGUGCGCUUGAAGUGGGCGGAAUGUGCCGUGUAGCGGUGAAAUGCUUAGAUAUGGCACAGAACACCAAUUGCGAAGGCAGCUCACUAAGGCGAUACUGACGCUGAGGCACGAAAGCGUGGGUAGCGAACAGGAUUAGAUACCCUAGUAGUCC
This 445-nucleotide ribosomal RNA is filed under the name uncultured bacterium. Its description in RNAcentral is "partial 16S ribosomal RNA". It matches the Rfam family "Bacterial small subunit ribosomal RNA", at positions 354 to 796 of the family's 1533-position model. The record is from RNAcentral.